This 512-nucleotide ribosomal RNA is filed under the name uncultured Allobaculum sp. RNAcentral describes it as "partial 16S ribosomal RNA". Lineage: Bacteria; Bacillati; Bacillota; Erysipelotrichia; Erysipelotrichales; Erysipelotrichaceae. The record is from RNAcentral.
CACGUAGUUAGCCGUGACUUCCUCGCCGGGUACCAUCACUCGGAAAGCUUUCCACUCUUUCUGCCUUUUGUCCCCGGCAACAGAGCUUUACGAUCCGAAGACCUUCCUCGCUCACGCGGCAUUGCUCGUUCAGGGUUCCCCCCAUUGACGAAAAUUCCCUACUGCUGCCUCCCGCAGGAGUCUGGGCCGUGUCUCAGUCCCAGUGUGGCCGUCCGCCCUCUCAGGCCGGCUAUGCAUCGUCGCCUUGGUGAGCCGUUACCUCUCCAACCAGCUAAUGCACCGCAGGUCCAUCUGCAUGCGGGACUCUUGUCCCCUUUUACCAAAAAGAGAUGCCUCCUCUUUGCUCAUCCGGUAUCAGUCUUCCGUUUCCAGAAGUUCUCCCGCUCAUGCAGGCAGGUUCCCUACGUGUUACUCACCCGUUCGCCACUCAUACUCCGAAGAUACUCCGUUCGACUUGCUAUGUAUUAGGCAUCGCCCGCCAGGUCCGUUCACUUCCCUGUACGCCAGGGUAA